Long non-coding RNA from Cydia amplana, 841 nucleotides. RefSeq lists it as uncharacterized. The record is from RefSeq and is a predicted model, not a curated record. NCBI's taxonomy places the organism in Eukaryota, Metazoa, Arthropoda, Insecta, Lepidoptera, Tortricidae. The transcript is spliced from 2 exons.
AUCAAAUAUAUUGUAGGUACAUGUGACUACGAAUGUUUAGCCCAUCUGUGUGUAAACAUGCAGUGUGAUAACGGGGACUCUAAAAUGUACUUAAAUUCAACUACUAAGAUAAUUUACGUGUGAUAAAGCACUUAGGAUACAUGUUAAAAUAUCCCCUCGGUAAAAAAGUAGUCAUUGAUUUAAAAUUUCGCACGCCUGUGUUUAUUUAUUGAAGUAUAGAAUACCUAUUUGUACGCCUAGUUUAGUGCUGCAAGUUCCCGAUGCAUUUCGUUAUUUAAGAGUAGAGAUCGUGUAUGAGAUUCGUUGGGUUAGGUUAGACUAGUUGUUUUGUAAGGCACGCAGAGGAUUUUAUAUUCGGGAUAUUGUAAAUAAGAUGGCUUGUAAUGAAACUACGCGUUAUGGAUAGCAUUCACAUUUUAUAUUCGUUUCGGUUCUCUUGGGAUAUUUUAACGUUAAAUAGGCACUAGUAUUAAUUUUAUUUAGUCCUAUUUAUGUUUAUGAUUAACCCGUAACCCGCACAUUAUAAAUGAAAUAUUUAGCUAAGAUAAUAAUUAUUGAAAUUGUAACAGAUGGACUAGUUCCGCGGUUCGUUUUACUAUAAUCAUGGAGUAUAAUUAUACAUAUAGGUAUUAUUUCCCAAUACAUAAACAGAGCUUGGUAAAAGUUUAUAAAAUGUAAUUUGGUGCUUAUUUUAUUAUAUCUGAUUAAAUAGAAGGCCCUCCACGACGUGAGAUGUUAUGAUUUUGUGUAUAACUAAAGCUAUGUGAAAGAUGUACAUAUAUGAUUAUAAUGAUUUUAUGUAAAUUGGUUAAUAAAUAUUUGAAAAUGUUUAUAUAAUCAA